UAAAGUCGAUGUUACCAGUUAUAGAGAUGGAGGCACUAACAGGGCUGUGAUGCCCUUAGAUGUUCUGGGCCGACGCCGAAUACACUGAUGAAGUCAUCGAGUUCAUUUCCUUUAUCGGAAGAUUGGGUAAUCUUUUGAAACUUCAUCGUGCUGGGUCUAGAGCAUUGAAACUAUUGCUCUUGAACGAGGAAUCCCUAGUAAGUACAAGUCACUAGCUUGUGCUGAUUACGUCCCUGCCCUUUGUACACACCGCCCGUCGCUACUACCGAUUGAAUGGCUUAGUGAGGCCUUCGGAUUGAAAUUCGGAGACUGGCAACAGACUCUUGGUUUUGAAAAGUUGGACAAACUUGGUCAUUUAGAGGAAGUAAAA
RNAcentral lists this ribosomal RNA (370 nucleotides) under uncultured Glomus. RNAcentral's name for it is "bacterial SSU rRNA". It matches the Rfam family "Eukaryotic small subunit ribosomal RNA", at positions 1418 to 1787 of the family's 1831-position model. Lineage: Eukaryota; Fungi; Glomeromycota; Glomeromycetes; Glomerales; Glomeraceae. The record is from RNAcentral.